This 492-nucleotide ribosomal RNA is filed under the name uncultured bacterium. Its description in RNAcentral is "partial 16S ribosomal RNA". It matches the Rfam family "Bacterial small subunit ribosomal RNA", at positions 29 to 507 of the family's 1533-position model. The record is from RNAcentral.
AGUGAACGCUGGCGGUAGGCCUAACACAUGCAAGUCGAACGGCAGCACAGUAAGAGCUUGCUCUUACGGGUGGCGAGUGGCGGACGGGUGAGGAAUAAAUCGGAAUCUACUUUUUCGUGGGGGAUAACGUAGGUAAACUUACGCUAAUACCGCAUACGACCUACGGGUGAAAGCAGGGGAUCUUCGUACCUUGCGCGAUUGAAUGAGCCGAUGUCGGAUUAGCUAGUUGGCUGGGUAAAGGCCAACCAAGGCGACGAUCCGUAGCUGGUCUGAGAGGAUGAUCAGCCACACUGGAACUGGGACACGGUCCAGACUCCUACGGGAGGCAGCAGUGGGGAAUAUUGGACAAUGGGCGCAAGCCUGAUCCAGCCAUACCGCGUGGGUGAAGAAGGCCUUCGGGUUGUAAAGCCCUUUUGUUGGGAAAGAAAAGCAGCAGGUUAAUAACCCGCUGUUCUGACGGUACCCAAAGAAUAAGCACCGGCUAACUUCGUG